RNAcentral lists this ribosomal RNA (252 nucleotides) under uncultured bacterium. Its description in RNAcentral is "partial 16S ribosomal RNA". It matches the Rfam family "Bacterial small subunit ribosomal RNA", at positions 524 to 776 of the family's 1533-position model. The record is from RNAcentral.
UACGUGGGGGCAAGCGUUGUCCGGAUUUCUUGGGCGUAAAGAGCGUGUAGGCGGCUUUACAGGUCCGUUGUGAAAACUCGAGGCUCAACCUCGAGACGCCGGUGGAAACCGUAAAGCUAGAGUCCGGAAGAGGAGAGUGGAAUUCCUGGUGUAGCGGUGAAAUGCGCAGAUAUCAGGAGGAACACCCGUGGCGAAAGCGGCUCUCUGGGACGGUACUGACGCUGAGACGCGAAAGCGUGGGGAGCAAACAGG